UCCCUAAAACCCUUCAGCCGCCCCCCUUUCUUUAUUUUCCCCCUCUCUCCCUCACGUUCCCUUCCUCCCUCUUUUCCCUCAUUCUCGCCUCAUCUCCCUCGUCCCACUCACCCACAACCGACACACGCUCCUCUCUUUCCAUUUUUUCAUCAUCACCGCCGCACCCCGCUCCUCCACCCACCUCAAAAUUCCCUAUAAAAAGGGGGACGACUCCACCUUCUGGGGGAGGAUUUUUCUGGAACGAAAAAGACCCCAUCCUUUUUUAGCAAGAAACAAGAUCAAACAGAUCAGAAACAGACCGAAAAAAAAUCCCAAGAUCUGAAAUCCAAAAAUCUCCCCACAAAACAAAAGCUUAUACUUUGGACAACAAGGACUCAGCAUAUUUUUUAGAAAAAAGAAAAAGAUCCGAAAAAAUCCUAUGGUUUCUUGACAUCGAUUAGAAAUCCUAAACUUUCAUUUGAUUGCUCUGUAUUAUUACGAAGUAGAGUGUAUAAAACUCAAGAAUUGAACACUGAUCGGACACGGAUUGGUGAUACAUGAGUAUUUUCUAAAAAUCUUGGGUUUUCUUUCAUUUUCAAAAUUGGGUCUUGAACUUUUGUUUCAAAUCAGAAAAUACUCUGUUAUGGAAUUUGUGUUGAAAAAUUAAGUUUUCCACAAUUCGACCAACUGUCGUCGCAGUUUGGCAAAAGGACUUUAACUACCAAAAUUUUCGAUCGAGUUUCGGGCCUAUUCAUAACGAUAGAGUAGAUUCGACGCCAUCGACGCCUCAGUUCAUUGCACAAAAAAAAGAUUUUGGCGAACUUGAAACUUGAUUUUGGAGACGUGUAUGAAGCGGAAAAGGUCAGCAGACAGGUGGACUUGAUCCUUAGGAGCUCUACCAGCGGUACUCUACAGUGCUCCAGUUGUUCCGGAGCCUCACUUCCGCGGUACUAUUUUGUGUAUGUAUAUUCGGGCACGGCAGUACCCGGCCCUUUCUAUGUAUAAGUGUACUAUGUCUAGAGGCUCGUAGACAGAUAUGCCCAGUCAGUCAAGUACAGUUAGAUAUAUGGUGUGUUGGCAUUUUAAUGUUGUUGUAUAAAGUGAUAACGAAGUUUACUAUUCUAUGUUCAUAAUGACGCUGCUAAUGUUAAUGUUCAAACAAAAAAAUAUAUGGCACUGUUCAUACGGCUUGCUAAGAGGUAAAGGCAAAAUGAUAGAUAAGGGGUGCUCGGUACAAGUAUCGGGUACUCGUCACGGCCCCUAAUCGGGUCGUGACAGAAGUGGUAUCAGAGCAGUUCGGUCCUAGGGUUUGUCUACGAGCCGUGUCCAGUAGAGUCUUGUUUAUGGGUGUGUAGCGCGCCACAUUUAUAAACAGGAGGCUACGGGGCAUAUAGGGAUUGUUGACCUUCUUGGUAUCUUAGAUCGUGCGAUAGAGCUGAGUUAUAGGAAAAUGAAAUUCCUUAUAUGAGCUUUACAUACGACGGGAGAAGGUAAGGGAUGACAUGGAAAGUCAUAAAGGUAAGUUUUGAAGUAUUUGUUUUGUUAUCAAAAAAUUGAAAGUUCAGAAUGGCUGGAAUGUGUUAUAUAGCUGUAUGCUUUGUAAGGUUUUGUUGAUAUUGUUGAUAUUUGUCGCGUACUGAUUCUGAAUAGUAAGGAUGAUAAAGGAAAAUAGGGUAAAAGAUAAGGAAUGGGCAUGAGGAAAAAGGACGACUAAAAAAAAAAGGGACCCUCCCGAAGUAUUAUGACACCCCAUAAGAUCAGUUGAACAUUCGAGGACGAAUGUUUUAAAGGGGGGAGGAUGUUAUAUCCCGUAUUUUUUUUACGUCGGAUUAUUUGUAAGCUGAGGUGGGGCCCACACAUCGAGAUUUUUUUUGGACAUCUGAAAAGUCAUAUGAAUCACAUAUGUGAAGUUAAACACAACUCAAGAAGGACCCUUGGGCCAAAUCAAAGUGGAAGUCCUCCAAACGAAUAUUUUUAAGAAAACGUUUUCGGGUGACCUGACUUCUAGGGGCAAAAAACGGUAUUAUAAGUUUGGAAUUUGAAAAAAUACCAAGGAAAUAGAAGUUGUAGAUAAUUGAAUUAGCUUUCCAACCAUAGGUUGUGGAUUCCCAGGUGACAUCGGUACAAGGAGAUAUGGACGUUUUAAGGUCGAAAGGUCAGUGGGCUAGGCCCAACUCGGGAUCAACCGAGUUGGCCCAAAAAAAUGAAGAAAACAAAUUAGGCCCAAAAGAGGGGUGGCCGGCCAUACAAUGGCCCAAGCCCAUGGAUUCUAAUUAAUUUCCAUGUGAUAAUUAAAUAAAAGGGGUCAUUUAGUUGUCUUGAAACAUAUAGAAGUUUCAAGAACAUUAGAAGAGGAGAAAAACAAAACAAAUGAAGAGCAAAGGAGACAUGGCAUACGGCCAUGCUCUCCAAUUUUUGUCCCUUUGAAAUCUUCUCCCAAAAAUUAUUUUCUUGUGGUAUUCUUACUAAUUCAAGGGUCCUUUACAACUUGGUGUAAUUAUUUUGGAAGAAAGAACACUUGUUUCUUCAAGUUGACAACUUGGUCAAGUGAAGAAGAUUGUAGAAAAAGGUAAGAAUUAAUCCUUUUUUAUUAUGUUAUGAAGGUUGGUUUAUGUUGUAGUAUGUAGAAAUGAGUAGAAUUUAUGGAAAUAUGGAAGUUUACAAAGUGGGUUUGCAUGUGUGCAUGUGUAUGUAAGGUUGUAUAAAUAAGAUGAGUUGAAUUGUAUGUUGUAUUCUAGUUGUAGUUGUGGUGGACCUUAUAUUGGAAAUGGAAGAAAAUGGUUCAAGUUGGCAUGGAAAAUUAUUGGAAAUAGUUAUAGGAAAUUAUGUGAUUUUAAUGAAGUUUUUAUGUAAUUAUGAAAAUGAAAUUAUUAAGGUGCAAAUUAUGAUUAUGGUUGAUGAAAUUGGAAGAUGGAAAUAUGUUAGGAAUAUGUAGAUUGAAGAUUAGAAGUUUUGGAUGGAUUAUGGUUUUGGUGGAAAGUUUGUAUAUUUUGUAUAUCUUGUGAAUAUUUGGUAGAAAUGAUAUGAAAUGCUUCCGAAUUAUAUUGUAAUGAUCUUGAUUAGUAAUGAAUGUAAAAACAUUGAGAUUGGUUUUGGAAAUGUGAAGUUGGAAUGAAAGCUAUUGCAUUAUGUUGGAAAGAAGACUAGUUGUGUUAUAUUGUGUUUUGUAGUCAUGGUUGUUGUCAUUGUGUUGAUAGUUUGGCCGGGUUGAAUUCCCGGAUUGUUGUUGAUAAAAAAUUGGCUAAGUUGAAUUUUGGGGAUGGUGUAUUUAUAGGGGAGAUGCUGCCCAAAUUUUUGUAGACAAGUAUUGGUUAAGAUUGAAAUCUUAAAGCCUUACAAUUAACAUUUGGUAAUUGUGACCAAAUUGUAGAUUUUGGCGAACUUGAAACUUGAUUUUGGAGACGUGUAUGAAGCGGAAAAGGUCAGCAGACAGGUGGACUUGAUCCUUAGGAGCUCUACCAGCGGUACUCUACAGUGCUCCAGUUGUUCCGGAGCCUCACUUCCGCGGUACUAUUUUGUGUAUGUAUAUUCGGGCACGGCAGUACCCGGCCCUUUCUAUGUAUAAGUGUACUACGUCUAGAGGCUCGUAGACAGAUAUGCCCAGUCAGUCAAGUACAGUUAGAUAUAUGGUGUGUUGGCAUUUUAAUGUUGUUGUAUAAAGUGAUAACGAAGUUUACUAGUCUAUGUUCAUAAUGACGCUGCUAAUGUUAAUGUUCAAACAAAAAAAUAUAUGGCACUGUUCAUACGGCUUGCUAAGAGGUAAAGGCAAAAUGAUAGAUAAGGGGUGCUCGGUAUAAGUAUCGGGUACUCGUCACGGCCCCUAAUCGGGUCGUGACACAAUAUAUGCAAGUUCGGAGCCCCUGGAAGUUGCUAAAUGCUAACAACAUCUGCCUAGUUCCGUCUAAUUUAGUCGUUCGCUAUAUGUCUAAGUAGUUGGUUAGCCUGUUAGUUUUUCAUAAAAUCAUUAGUGAAGCAUUGGUGUGUUUGCAGAUUUGUUUAUUUUGAGUAUAGUUUAAUUAUGUGUUUGUAGAUAUUGUCCAACUUUUGGUGUCUUAGUAGUUUUAGAUCAAACAGCCUUCCUUGGUCCCCUCAUAUCAUGGUAGUUGCUUGUUUCUUGAACUAGCUUGCAUCAAGUCGAGUUCUGAAGUUGUAUUAAAUAUCAGAAAGAUUAAUUCAAUCCUGGCUGUUGUGUCCGAGUAUGAUUUUUAUGUCUGCAGUGUAUGACCAUUUUAGUUAAGGCUUAUGACAAACUUGCUUGCAUUAUAUACCUACUAGCAUUACUUGUAUGUCGAAUUUUGAGAAUUUGAACCUAUCAUUCCAUGCCUCAUCUCCAUCAGUGUUAAAUAUGUAUACAUCAUGUUCUAUUAAAACAAGUUUUCUUGGUUUCUAAAUUUACAAAUGAUCUUGUAAAAAUGCUAUAUGCUACAUGUGUCUUACAUAGAAUGAAGUUAAAAAUCCUUGUAUGGUUUUCAGUCCUUCUUUCUUUUACAAUAAGUGCUGCCAGUUAAAGAAUGGGCAAGCAUGUUUCAGUUUUCCUCGAAUCUGUAGUUAUUAAAUAUUGGUUUAGAAAGAAUGAGAUUUGCAAAUGAUUUAUGCUCAGUGUGAUAUCCUGUAAUUCCCCUCUUCAUCUCUGUUUGUCUAUGCUUAACAAAUUAGUCCUGAAAUCCUUUAAAUUGCUUCACACUUGGAUGUUGGUUUGUUAGCAGUUAGCUUUGAUUCAACCCUUGCAUUGUUUUAAAACAUCUUACUCUACAUACACUCUAUGUGUAUCACAUUGUAUGUCAUUAUUCAUAUCAUGUCCUCAUCCACCAAAUUUCCAUUUCCUGUUAACAAUAUAGCUACAUCUUAUGCUCGUGGUAUGAUUAUUUGGUCUAUUUGAGGGCAUGCUAUCUCUCUGGUAACCUCAUCAGCAACUAUGUCUAUCUGAAACACUCCCAUUUUUACAUGUCAUUUGGUUUGUUUCUGUGCCCCUGCGGCCUAUGCCCAUGUCUGCGUCUGGAAUUGCCUCUGAAUUCAUCUGUUUGUUUUAUACAAGUAACUGCUGCAUAACUUGCCUUGUUUAUUCCCUUUCUGUUGAAUAUGCUAGUCGACCACGAUACAUCCCCACUGUCAUACUCAGUUUGUUACUUGGGCUAUGUUUUAUCUAGAAUUGAUUGUUCUCUCUUUGCUGUUACCUGUCUAAAUUGUUUGACUCUUCCAUCUAUCAUUUGUAUGCUAACGCAGGUUUGCCUCCCUGUAUUGGUAUUAGGACUGCUUCGGUUAUUGUAUAUGGUAUAGUUGUCCACUUUACAGUUGGUAAAAGCAUCUUGACUUACUAUGAUGCCAUUGAUAAAAUACAUAUGACCAGUGUCCUAUACUCUCUUAAAUAUCCUUGUUAGUUUCACUUAAUUUAAGUCAAACUUUUAUACCUCUUUACGAACGUGUAUACAUGAGAUAUACUUGGAUAUACACAUUAUAUACAUGGCCUACUGAUUCGUUAUUUUUGAAUUUAUAUUUUUUACCUGUUUAAUCUUAUCUGUUAAUCAUACUAAUCCUUUUCUUCUCAUUUUUUAUGCAUGAACAUCGUAUAUGAGUCCCUCGGACUCGUCAUUCCUCCGCAUUUGGUGUUGGGCUAAAGGCCCAACUUGUCCUUCCUGCUCGGCCUCUGUCCACAGCACAAAAAUAGAAGACAAAAAUUUGGGCUAAAGCCCAAUAGACAGAAUCAGAACUCGGUAGCAGCAUAUACAAAUUGUUAUUGGGCCGAAGCCCAGUUGCAAACAGAUUGCAGCAGUCCAAAUGGGGCUGAACCCAUUCUCAUUAUAUUUGCUCCUCUAUUUCUAUUUUGUGUGCCCUUUAACAUGUAUUGUAUGACUAACAUUUGUGCUUUGUUAAUUAAGAUUAGUAACAUUAAGGGUUUAGUUUAGUAAUGGGUAGUUGAUUUUACAAAUUACAUUCACUUCUAUUUUUAACUAUUUAUAGCAUCUAUAACAUUUAUUUGGGUAAUUGAUUUUCAACA
Molecule: long non-coding RNA, 5974 nt
Organism: Lycium barbarum (goji berry)
Lineage: Eukaryota; Viridiplantae; Streptophyta; Magnoliopsida; Solanales; Solanaceae
Exons: 4
Source: RefSeq, a predicted model, not a curated record